GACGAACGCUGGCGGCGUGCUUAACACAUGCAAGUCGAACGGAAAGGCCCUUCUGUGGGUACUUGAGUGGCGAACGGGUGGGUAACAAGUGGGUAAUCUGCCCUUGAUUUCGGGCUAACUACCGGAAACUGGGGCUAAUACAGGAUAGCUAUUAUUGCAGCAUGGUGGGGGUUGGAAAGCUUCGGCGGUUUUGGAUGGACUCGCGGCCUAUCAGCUUGUUGGUGGGGUAGUUGCGUAGCAAGGCUUGGACGGGUAGCCGGCCUGAGAGGGCGACCGGCCACAUUGGGACUGAGAUACGGCCCAGACUCCUACGGGAGGCAGCAGUGGGGAAUAUUGCACAAUGGGCGGAAGCCUGAUGCAGCAACGCCGCGUGCGGGAUGACGGCCUUCGGGGUGUAAACCGCUUUCAGCAGGGACGAAGCUUUUGUGACGGUACCUGCAGAAGAAGCACCGGCUAACUACGUG
Molecule: ribosomal RNA, 464 nt
Filed under: uncultured bacterium
Lineage: Bacteria
Description: partial 16S ribosomal RNA
Rfam family: Bacterial small subunit ribosomal RNA
Source: RNAcentral